RNAcentral lists this non-coding RNA (97 nucleotides) under Enterovibrio coralii. RNAcentral describes it as "c-di-GMP sequence". It matches the Rfam family "c-di-GMP-I riboswitch aptamer". From Rfam's summary of the family: GEMM was predicted in a large-scale screen for bacterial structured RNA regulatory elements. Genes associated with GEMM are involved in a diverse array of functions, including chemotaxis regulation, signal transduction, secretion and chitin. The record is from Rfam by way of RNAcentral. Lineage: Bacteria; Pseudomonadati; Pseudomonadota; Gammaproteobacteria; Vibrionales; Vibrionaceae.
CACUCUUAUCGGCAAACUGUUUGAAAAAACAGGACGCAAAGCCACCGGUCUAAGGGCUCACUUCAUUGUUUGAGCUUAUGAUAGCGGGGCCGCCAUU